This 490-nucleotide ribosomal RNA is filed under the name uncultured bacterium. RNAcentral's name for it is "partial 16S ribosomal RNA". It matches the Rfam family "Bacterial small subunit ribosomal RNA", at positions 30 to 507 of the family's 1533-position model. The record is from RNAcentral.
AUUGAACGCUGGCGGCAGGCCUAACACAUGCAAGUCGAACGGUAACAGGAAGAAGCUUUCUUCUUUGCUGACGAGUGGCGGACGGGUGAGAAAUGUCUGGGAAACUGCCUGAUGGAGGGGGAUAACUACUGGAAACGGUAGCUAAUACCGCAUAACGUCGCAAGACCAAAGAGGGGGACCUUCGGGCCUCUUGCCAUCGGAUGUGCCCAGAUGGGAUUAGCUAGUAGGUGGGGUAACGUCUCACCUAGGCGACGAUCCCUAGCUGGUCUGAGAGGUUGACCGGCCACACUGGAACUGAGACACGGUCCAGACUCCUACGGGAGGCAGCAGUGGGGAAUAUUGGACAAUGGGCGCAAGCCUGAUGCAGCCAUGCCGCGUGUAUGAAGAAGGCCUUCGGGUUGUAAAGUACUUUCAGCGGGGAGGAAGGGAGUAAAGUUAAUACCUUGGCUCAUUGACGUUACCCGCAGAAGAAGCACCGGCUAACUACGUG